UUUAUAACCUUCUUUUUGCCAGAAUAAUACGAACUUUGUUUAAAAUUCAAAGAACUUGGCGGUGUCUAAUCAUAACAGGGGAACCUGUCCUUUAAUUCGAUAAUCCACGUCAUCCUCACCGCCCCUCACAAAGCCUGUGUACUGCCGUCGUCAGUUCACCUCUAAAAGCGUGUACAAUAAAUAUAAUUCUAUACUACGUCAGGUCAAAGUGCAGCUUAUGGGGUGGAAGAGAUGGGUUACAACCUCCAAAAAGAUACAAACUUUUCAUUAAACAUAAAAACGAAGGUGGACUUGUUAGUAAUAAAUAUAAAAUAUAUUUAUGAAUAUGAAUCUAAGACAUGCACACAUCGCCCGUCACUCUCGCUUUAAAGUG
RNAcentral lists this ribosomal RNA (373 nucleotides) under Insulodrilus bifidus. RNAcentral's name for it is "partial 12S ribosomal RNA". It matches the Rfam family "Microsporidia small subunit ribosomal RNA", at positions 752 to 1217 of the family's 1311-position model. Lineage: Eukaryota; Metazoa; Annelida; Clitellata; Tubificida; Phreodrilidae. The record is from RNAcentral.